AUGCCUCAGAAGACACAUUUUCCUUUCUUCACUUUGUUGCUCUUUCAGAUUCAGAUAGAUCGACCGACCGGAGCCAUGCCUCUCCCCGCGAACCUUGUAAUGGGGUCCGCCUUCGUCGCGCUCGGCGUCACGCUCCUCGCCGGCUUCCUCUACGUCGCCGUCUGGUCCAAGGCCCUCGCGCCGUCCGACAACUGGUUCUUGCUCGCCGUUCAGAACGACAGGUAUUACUGCUUGCUUGUGCCCCUGACGGUUCCUGUCAUAAUCGUGGCUGUGUACCUGCAUUGGCUGAGCAUGAAGAUGUUCAAGCAUGCGUGA
This 315-nucleotide ribosomal RNA is filed under the name Triticum aestivum (bread wheat). Its description in RNAcentral is "partial small subunit ribosomal RNA". Lineage: Eukaryota; Viridiplantae; Streptophyta; Magnoliopsida; Poales; Poaceae. The record is from RNAcentral.